UCCAGGGUAGCUCAACCGGCAGAGCGAGUGGCUGUUAACCACUAGGUUGCGAGUUCGAGUCUCGCCCCUGGAGCCA
RNAcentral lists this transfer RNA (76 nucleotides) under bacterium. Its description in RNAcentral is "tRNA-Asn". It matches the Rfam family "tRNA". Rfam says of the family: Transfer RNA (tRNA) molecules are approximately 80 nucleotides in length. Their secondary structure includes four short double-helical elements and three loops (D, anti-codon, and T loops). The record is from RNAcentral.